AGGAAAAGGUGGGAAAAGCUGCAAAAAAGGGCAAGAAAAGCUGAGAGAAAAAAAGUUGGAAAGCUGAGAGGAAAACUCAGAGAAAGCUGAGGAAAAGGGCAAGAAAAGCUGAGAGGAAAAGGCAGGAAUUGCUGACAGGAAAAGGUGUGAAAAGGAGAAAAAAAAGGGGCAAGAAAAGGUGAGAAGAAAAAGGGGGAAAAGCUGAGGAAAAGGGCAAGAAAAUAUGAUAGGAAAAGGUGGGAAAAGGGCAAGAAAAGGUGAGAGAAAAAAGGAAUCGCCGAGAGGAAAAAGCGGGGAUCGGUGAGGGGAAAAAAGGAGGAAAAACCGAGGAAAAAGAGCGCCGAGAGGCAGGAGGAGCCCGCCCGCCAUCGCUGCCCGGCGGCGCCAUGGAGGAGGCUGCGCAGGGGUCCGGCCAUGGUGGCGGUGAGGAGCUUCCCACCCCGCCGGCGCAGGGGGGACCGCGGGUGGAGGCGCUGCUGGCGCGGAUCCGGGCUCUGCACCAAGGUGAGCGCCCGCGGGGACAGGCGCUGGCCCCGGGGGGUCCGUCCCCUUGUCCCCACGGCUGUCUGUCCCCCUGGCCCUUUGGUACCACGGGUGUCUGUCUGUCCGUCCCCAUGGGGGGCUGUCCCCUUGGGGGGCCGUCCUCCUGCCCCCACAGGUGCCCGUCCCCGUGGGUGUCCCUUGUCCCCUUCCCCUGUCCCAUGGCUUUCUGUCCCCCUGUCCCCACGGGUGUCCGUCCCUCUGUCCCCACGGGUGUCCGUCCCUCUGUCCCCAUAGAUGUCCGUCCCUCUGUCCCCACAGGUGGCUACCCCAUGGUCCCUAUGGGUUCCUGCCCUUCUGUCCCCAUGGGUGUCCGUCCCCCUGUCCCUCUGUCCCCCUGCCCCCACGUCUGUCCCCAGCCUGCCAGGCCCGGGCGCAGGAGCUGGCGGAGGCUCAGGGCCACAGCGAGGAGCUGCGGCGGCACCUGGAGCAGCGUGAGUCCCCGGGGGGCCAAAAUCCAAGGGGGGGACCCCGAAAUCCACGGGGGGGAUCCCAAAAUCCAAGGGGGGGACCGUAAAAAGCCAUUGGGGGAGACCAAAAUCCAUGGGGGGACCCCGAAAUCCAUGGGGGGACCCCGACAUCAGUAGGGGGGGAGUACAAAAUCAAUGGGGGGUGGCGAAAUCAACGGGGGGGGGACCCCAACAUCCAUGGGGAGAUCCCAAAGUCCAUGGGGGGACCCCAAAAUCAGAGGGGGGGACCCCAACAUCGGUGGGGGGGCCCCAAAAUCCAUGGAAGUGAACCCAAGAUCCACAAGGGGGACCCCAAGAUCCACGGGGGGGACCCCAAAAUCCAUGCGGGGGGACCCCAAAAUCCAUGGGGGGGGACCCCAAAUCAAUGAGGACACCAACAUCAACGGGGGGACCCCGAAAUCCAUGGAGGGACCCCAAAAUCUACAGGGUGCCCAAUUACAAUGGGGGAGGGGGCUGAAAUCCAUGGGGGGGGGGCCAAAAUCAAUGGAAGGAGCCCAAAAUCCAUGCUGGGGGACCCCAAAACCCAUGGCGGGGACCCCAAAACCCAUGGCGGGGACCCCCUAAUCCACGAGGGGGGGCCCCAAAAUGAAUGGGGGGGACCCCAACACCCACGGGGGGGAACCCCAAAACCCACGGGGCUUGGGGGGGGCCCCCGAAACCUGGAGGCCCCCCCCCCGGCGCUGAGCCCGUGGCGCAGUGGAGGAGCAGCUGGCGGCGCUCGAGGGGCUGUGGCAGCAGCAGCGCGGUGAGGCCGCGCUCCCAGCGCGCCCCGGGGCCGUGCCCCCC
This 1796-nucleotide long non-coding RNA is filed under the name Anser cygnoides (Swan goose). Its description in RNAcentral is "lncRNA (ENSACDG00005007805.1)". The record is from RNAcentral. Lineage: Eukaryota; Metazoa; Chordata; Aves; Anseriformes; Anatidae.